UCAAACCCAGGGUUGCACUUGCCCUAUAAUGUGACCAUAGUUGAGCAGCAUAGAGCUGUUAGACCUUUAAGAGGUGAGCAGAAGAGUGCUGCUUCAUGCACUGAAAAAUUGACCAGGAGUGAGAAAAGCCAUACCUGUUAAAAUUCUGCCUUGUAUACAAGUAGGCAAAAUCCUGUCCUCUUUUUCAUUUGGUCACCAAAUCCCCGGAUCAUUCUCAGUGUUAGCAUCUAUCCACAGGUACCUCUAUUGCUAAAACCACAGCUUGCUGGAAAGGUGUGCAGGUGUUAGAAGGUGCUACCACCCUGCCUUUGAGAUGGUGGCUGAGAAGGAAGAGGUUGUGAAGAAACCCCCAAAGCAGGAGUCGAGAUUCUUGGCUGAACCUGAAGAGCCCAGAUGCCAGUUGAGGCCGCAGGUGAGGAGCUGGAGAAGAUGGUUCAUACGGUGAUAUAGCACAAUACGGUGAUGUCUGCCCAAGAGAAGGCCUUCUCAAACAAGUUUGCUAUGCUAGAAGAGGAUGUUGCCUGCACAAUUUCUCUCUGGUCUGUGGCAACAAAGAUGCGUCUACAGGCACUGGAGAAUGAUGUGAAGUUCAUGAAGUGGAUUAGUGGAAUGUAAACAAUGGGGUGAGCAACAUUUAAAGGAUCAAGAUUGUAGUACAACAUCUAUAGGAGGACCAAAGUUGUGCAUCCCUUGUUUUCCAGUAUAGUUGGAAAAAUUUUAAA
Hemicordylus capensis (graceful crag lizard) is the source of this 722-nucleotide long non-coding RNA. RefSeq lists it as uncharacterized. The record is from RefSeq and is a predicted model, not a curated record. The transcript has 4 exons. Lineage: Eukaryota; Metazoa; Chordata; Lepidosauria; Squamata; Cordylidae.